This 72-nucleotide transfer RNA is filed under the name Cavia porcellus (domestic guinea pig). It matches the Rfam family "tRNA". From Rfam's summary of the family: Transfer RNA (tRNA) molecules are approximately 80 nucleotides in length. Their secondary structure includes four short double-helical elements and three loops (D, anti-codon, and T loops). Further hydrogen bonds mediate the characteristic L-shaped molecular structure. tRNAs have two regions of fundamental functional importance: the anti-codon, which is responsible for specific mRNA codon recognition, and the 3' end, to which the tRNAs corresponding amino acid is attached (by aminoacyl-tRNA synthetases). tRNAs cope with the degeneracy of the genetic code in two manners: having more than one tRNA (with a specific anti-codon) for a particular amino acid; and 'wobble' base-pairing, i.e. permitting non-standard base-pairing at the 3rd anti-codon position. Lineage: Eukaryota; Metazoa; Chordata; Mammalia; Rodentia; Caviidae. The record is from Rfam by way of RNAcentral.
AUGGAUAUAGCUCAGUGGCAUAGCACCUGCUUGGAAAGCAUGAGGUUGUGAGUUCAACUCCCAAUACCAAAA